CUGAAUUAUUCUUUUUUGUAAUAUAAAAAGAAUUCUUUCAAACACCUGUGAACUUUUUAUAACAUUUUGCCUUGGGUUUUUCAGAGACCUAGUUUUUGAAAAGCCCAAAGGAUUUAAUAAAAACACCUUUAUUUUUUAAACGUUAUUGUCUGAAAAAUGAUUAUAUUAAUAAAUCA
This 176-nucleotide unclassified non-coding RNA is filed under the name soil metagenome. RNAcentral's name for it is "partial internal transcribed spacer 1". The record is from RNAcentral.